AGAGCCGGAGAGAGAACUCAGGGCCAAUGACCGGGAAUACAACCUCUCAUUUAAAUAUGCCACGAACGCCAUCAAGACAUCCAAGUACAACUUCUUCACCUUCCUCCCUCUCAAUCUCUUUGAGCAGUUCCAGAGGAUCGCUAAUGUCUACUUUCUGUUCCUGCUGGUGCUCCAGUUGAUUCCUGAGAUCUCGUCGGUGUCCUGGAUCACCACCGUCGUGCCUUUGGUGGUGGUGCUGUCCGUCACCGCUGUCAAGGAUGCCACUGAUGAC
This is a long non-coding RNA of Syngnathus typhle (broad-nosed pipefish), 271 nucleotides long. RefSeq lists it as uncharacterized. The record is from RefSeq and is a predicted model, not a curated record. The transcript is spliced from 3 exons. NCBI's taxonomy places the organism in Eukaryota, Metazoa, Chordata, Actinopteri, Syngnathiformes, Syngnathidae.